Balaenoptera ricei (Rice's whale) is the source of this 5821-nucleotide RNA transcript. It is a transcript of the gene named F-box and leucine rich repeat protein 20, with no coding region annotated. The record is from RefSeq and is a predicted model, not a curated record. The transcript is spliced from 16 exons. Lineage: Eukaryota; Metazoa; Chordata; Mammalia; Artiodactyla; Balaenopteridae.
GCUGAGGAGAGAGAAGAGGUAGCGACGAGCAGUCGUCGCCACCACCGCGGGAGGUGGAGGAGGCCCUGCCGGAGUCGAGAGGUCUCUCCUCCCCGCCGACGGUCCCUGCCCACAGCUCCUCUGCCUCCUCUCGGUGCCGGAACUCCCGGGCCUGCCCGGGGCCCCCAGUCUUUGCACUCCGCACGCCGCAGCGCCCGGCCCCGGCCGCACCCGCCGGCCCCAUGAGGAGGGACGUGAACGGAGUGACCAAGAGCAGGUUUGAGAUGUUCUCAAAUAGCGAUGAAGCUGUAAUUAAUAAAAAACUUCCCAAAGAACUCCUAUUACGGAUAUUUUCUUUUCUGGAUGUUGUUACCUUGUGUCGCUGUGCUCAGGUCUCCAGGGCCUGGAAUGUUCUGGCUCUGGAUGGCAGUAACUGGCAGAGAAUUGACCUGUUUGAUUUCCAGAGAGAUAUCGAGGGCCGGGUAGUGGAGAAUAUUUCAAAAAGGUGUGGGGGCUUUUUACGAAAGUUAAGUCUUCGUGGGUGUCUCGGAGUAGGAGACAAUGCAUUAAGGACCUUUGCACAAAACUGUAGGAACAUUGAAGUACUGAAUCUCAAUGGGUGUACAAAGACUACAGAUGCUACAUGUACUAGCCUUAGCAAGUUCUGUUCCAAACUCAGGCACCUUGACUUGGCUUCCUGUACAUCAAUAACAAACAUGUCUCUAAAAGCUCUGAGUGAGGGAUGUCCACUGUUGGAGCAAUUAAACAUUUCCUGGUGUGACCAAGUAACCAAGGAUGGUAUCCAAGCACUAGUGAGAGGCUGUGGAGGUCUUAAAGCCUUAUUCUUAAAAGGCUGCACACAGCUAGAAGAUGAAGCUCUCAAGUACAUAGGUGCACACUGUCCUGAACUGGUGACUUUGAACUUGCAGACUUGCUUACAAAUCACAGAUGAAGGUCUCAUUACUAUAUGCAGAGGGUGCCAUAAGCUACAGUCCCUCUGUGCCUCUGGCUGCUCCAACAUCACAGAUGCCAUCCUGAACGCUUUAGGUCAGAACUGCCCACGGCUUAGAAUAUUAGAAGUGGCAAGGUGUUCUCAACUAACAGAUGUAGGCUUUACCACUCUGGCCAGGAAUUGCCAUGAGCUUGAAAAGAUGGACCUGGAAGAGUGUGUUCAGAUAACAGAUAGCACAUUAAUCCAACUUUCUAUACACUGUCCUCGACUUCAAGUAUUGAGUCUGUCUCACUGUGAGCUGAUCACAGAUGAUGGAAUUCGUCACCUGGGGAACGGGGCCUGCGCCCAUGACCAGCUGGAGGUGAUUGAACUGGACAACUGCCCCCUAAUUACAGAUGCAUCCCUGGAGCACUUGAAGAGCUGUCACAGCCUUGAGCGGAUAGAACUCUAUGACUGCCAGCAAAUCACACGGGCUGGAAUCAAGAGACUCAGGACCCAUUUACCCAAUAUUAAAGUCCACGCCUACUUCGCACCUGUCACUCCACCCCCAUCAGUAGGGGGCAGCAGACAGCGCUUCUGCAGAUGCUGCAUCAUCCUAUGACAAUGGAGGUGGUCAACCUUGGUGAACUGAGUAUUUAAUGACACUUCUAGAGUUACCAUGGAUCUCCAUUGGAAGCGACCCCAGUGUUCCGGGCAAAGGUUACAAAGUCCAUGUGGAGGCGAGCCCUGCCUGUCUGGGCCAAGAACAGAGUCAAGUGAGGGAAUAAAGGCCCUGGAGUGUGCAGCACUGGCAUGUAUGUGGUCAGGCAGGAACCUUGUUCCUUUCUGAAGAAAACUUCUGGCCCAUCAAGCUUGGAAGGACAUGUAUUUUUUAUGCCAAUCUAAAACCUAUGUCAGCUGAUGAAAUAUACCAGGACUUCGAGAACGCAGAACGUGGUAAGUUUUGGUCAGGUGGAAGGGCCCUGCCAUCUGAACAUAGUAUUUCCUGUCUCAUCUUCAGGGACACUGUUGAAAAUCCAGUAAGGCUUUACAGAUGUAGGAAAAACUCUUCCUUAGGAAAAACUUAUUGGUCCAUUUGUCUGACUCCAGAGUCACUCCACAAUAUGCCUUCAAUAAUAAAAAAAAUACAGAGUGAACGGAGAGAAGAGAUAUGGGAUAAGUAAGAAGGUGCCCUCAAAGUUACUAUACAUCCGGAUCAUCUCUUUUCUAAGCAGCCUUUUCCCCUUACAUUUUUUAGCAUCAUCAGUAUCUUUUACAUCUUCAUUGGCCCCAUCAAGGUGAUGAUUCCAGGUUUUUUUUUUUUUGCAUUGACUUCUCCCAUGUCCUUCCUAUACCCAUCCUUGCCCUCUAUCUUGAAAGCUUCCAUCUCACUCCCAACAAUGCUGCUAAUUUAUUCUCGUGUCUUCAGUUUAGCUUCCUCUUUGGAUCCUUGUCCUGAUCUGGGCAAACUAUCCUGGGCAGCCUUGAAUUCAGUAACUGUCAUGUAGCUCAGGCCAUUUUUCACUGGGUGAUCUUUGUUGUUUGCUUACUGAGUUUGAAAUCAAACUGUUGGAUAUGAGUAAUAAGAGAAUCUGCCUUCAUCCUUUUUCCAAUAUCUGGAAUGUGAAAGCACAUCAUGCUUUAUGUAAAAAAAUGUUUUCUCCUCCUGUUCUGCUCUUUAAUGGAUGUAAAAGUAUUAAGUGGUUUUUAUAAAUUUCCACAUCAAGUUGAUUUAGCAGACAUAUAAGUCAGAAAUUUUUCAUAUUCCUUAUAUCACAUUUUAGAGGGCAACCUGGUAAAUAUUUUUAUGAUGCUUUAUUUUGAGCUUUCCAAACUGUUUGAAUGGUUCAGUAUAGCUACAAUGCUAUAUGGCAGUCAAGUUCUUUUAUUUCUUCUAAUUGCCUUGUAAAAUGCAUUGUUACUGGUCUGAUAACCCACUAAUGCCAUGGGGGGGCUAAACAAAGUAUGAGUUGGAACCUGUCUUGGUUUGAAGUUGUUAGGAAGUGUGAGAGUGUCCCUGGAAAGAAGAGGUGGUUUCCUGCCUGCCUGUGGGCAGCAUAUCCUUGGUGGCUGUAUUGUUUAGAAGGGAGGAACACUUGAUCCUGGUGGACCCUUGUCCAUUUAAUGUUUAUGGAAAGUCAGAUUGCUUAUGACAGUUGCCACUAGUGAGAGAGGAAGGGUUUAAAGAAAAUUGGACUGUUCUGCUUUUUCCCUCCUUAUGUGCAUGAUUUAAGGCUAGAUUUCUAUCCUUGUUGUGCGUCCUGGCUGACAGACUCUUUCAGUGGUAUGCUCUGAGCUUCCGGAACAUUUUAUACAAAGAUUGCCUUCUCUAUCUGCCCACCAGUUCUAGGAUUUUUAACCACCUCAAACCCAGGCGAUGUGAAUUAGUCAGGUGUUGUCUGAGAAGACAUGUAGGAUGUUUCAUUGGAGGUCUUGAGGCAGAACCCUCCCGCUUACAAUGAUCUUGGACCAAAGAACGCUAAAGUGUCAGGAGGGUGAGGGGAAUUAAUAGUCUCAGCCUCUCCUCACCUUUAUUUCUAUCAUAAAUUUUAAUUGUAAGAUUGGAAGAUACAGAAAGCUGUAUACAACCAUGUCGAUAGGGUAUAAUUAACCCAGAUAAUUUGGGAAUAAAAUUUGGCUUGUAUUUGCUAUAUCCAGAUGCCCAGACUUAACAUCUUGGUUCUCCAGCAAAGAACAUGCUGCUCUAACCUUGCCCUCUCCCUUGGGACAAACUUUCUACCUACCAGAAACUACCAUUUGAGGCAAGUGAGUCUUCUGGGUGAAGGGCUUCUGCAGCACAGCCCCCCCGUGCCCUCCCAAGGCAAGUCUACCUAUUUUGCCCAUUUUUAUUCUUAAGAACAUCAGUUCUGCAUCUCUGAAGCCUUUGAUCCUUUGGAAAGUCAGUAAGAACUUCUCAGCUGAGUCUGAGUGAAUCUUUGGAGCCCAAGAGAGUUACCCUUAAUUUUGAACAGAGAAAAAUUGUUGGACAAACUCAUGUGUGUGUUAAGAAAAUUCCAUAAUGCACUUCCUCCGUCUCUGCCUUCUAUGUUUGUUGAAUAACCCCUUAGUAGAGGUUGUUUCACAGGUGUUGAGACUCAGUGCUUCCUCAGCCAGGGUAGUUCACUGCCCUUUUAGGAAAAAGAACCAUGAACAACCAAAACUGUAUCAAUUGACCCUGUUUAUUUUCUGUGUUUUUCAGUGUCUUGUUUUGAAGAAUUGGGGUGGGGAAAUGGUAGUUGACAUUCAAAGUAGAGGAGAGAAUCAGUUCUGGAAAUGGGGUACUUUGCUUCAGGUACAAGCAUCUGUCCUGAAUAUGUAGAAACAGCUGCCUCACAUGUGAGUAGGUUUACUUUCCUCUCCAUGUAAUGAACUCCAUGCCCUUCUUAGUGGCAAGGAGGGCUUCUACUUUCUACACACGUAACCAGUGUCAUCCAGAUGGGGAUUGGCACCACUGAACACCACCAGUGCUUCCCGUUGGCUUCUGGGCAUGAUUUUCACCAGGGCAAGAGCAAGUAGGCAGUAAAUGAGAAUCCCCACCCCAGGGAGAGGUAAGAGAAGAGAGGUGUUCAGACACAUACCUAUUCUCUUCUGCCAUAUCCCCAAGAACCCAGAGAAAUGUUUGAAGUGAUUUUUUCUUUUUUUUAAUUAAAGUGGAUGAAGAAAGAUUGACCCCACUAAGUUUUAGCUUGUCCCUGUCUCUUAUACUACUUGUUGUUAUUCAUUCAAAUCUGUACUACACUGCUGCUCACAUACAUGUAUGUGUUUCUUACCUUAGCCUAACCCUUCUCAACCCCUGAAGUCAUUAUUCUAUUUUGUGUUUUCUUUUUUUAUGGCACUAGCGAAUGAGAACCUAAAGUCUUAGAAAAUCCUAACUUGAAAAGGAGUCUCUAACUGGCAUGGUUUGAUUAAUUACUUUACCUUUUCCCCCUAAAGACUUGAAUGAUUUUCUUCCCUAGUGCUAUAUAAUAGAUCUGUAAUAAGUGAAACCUUUGCUGCUACUUUUCUGGGUUUACAUCAGUUUUUUCCUUCCCUUAAAAAUAAUUUCUUAUCUGUGCUUCUCUGAUGACUGUUAAUUUCUAAUAAGUACAGGAAGAGGUGAACCUGAGAUUUCUUCUCUUACUCCCCUCCUCACCCUACCCCCAAAUUAUACACUAACCUCUAACAUAUAUAAGAUCCAUGAGAUGGGGCUCAAAAUAAGAUGCUUGUGGGGUUUUUUUCUCAUCAUGCUGCAGCUCUCAGAGCUGGCCCCUGAGGAUCUGUGACUACCCAGUCCAAAGGGUUACUACAGGGAGAGAAAGGCUUUCUUAAUUUUGCCUUUCUCCAUUCCUGUUUUAUGAUCACCCUUCAGAUGCCUCCCAUUCUGGCUGCCUCCUUUUUCCUCCCAGGAGUUGCUUCCAAGUAACCUGCCUCGGUCAUUUCCCAACUGCUCUCCUCACCUUUGCCCACCUUCCAGUGACCCUGAGAGCACAGACCUGAGAGCCGGGGCCUGUGCAGAGCUCAGAGAACUGUGAGGACGACCCCUGCCUUUCAGACUCUUCUUGGGGACAGAGAUGGGUAAAUGGUGCUGUGGGAGAAAUUUUUAUCUUCAAACCAGGCUGUUUCGCCCUUUGCACUGCCCCGCCUCCACCCCCACUCCCCUGAGGAAGGGGUAAAAUGCAGAGGAUGGUUGACUAGCAGGGUCUGAUCCCCAACAUUGCCGUCUGGCCUAAGCCUUGUCCAGCCAUUCGGCCUGCUCUGGCGUGAGAGCUUCAGUGUGUGGGAGCUGCCACUUGCUUGUUUCUCCACCAGGCCUGCCCCAACACUUAGCCGGUCCCUGGGGCCAACACAGUUCCCUACGUGGUGACUUAACACCAGCCUCCAUUAGCUGUCCAAGUGACUGUGUUUCCACCCAAUACCUUUGGCGCUUGAGGA